RNAcentral lists this long non-coding RNA (4956 nucleotides) under Nicotiana tabacum (common tobacco). Its description in RNAcentral is "long non-coding RNA (NTAB_LNC010759)". Lineage: Eukaryota; Viridiplantae; Streptophyta; Magnoliopsida; Solanales; Solanaceae. The record is from RNAcentral.
UUCUUUUAUUUUCUUCUUUCUCACACACAAUUUCACAUACAUUUACAUUUGUAUAUUAGAAAAUACAGAUGCAUUACAUAGCAUCAGUGGAAGAAGGAUCGAAGAAACAGAGCACAAGAAGAGUUAGUAAAGGUUGUUUGAUGAAUUAAUUAUAAUGGAGCCCUUUUUUUAAUGAUACAAUUCAGGAGAGGAUUUGUAGGGGGGGAAAAAUGAGAAAUUGGAGCUUCGAGGCAUGAUGAUGCACAUGGGAAGACCGGCAAGAACAAGAUUUUUGGUAAAUAGUAUUACAAGUAACCUUUUUUAUUUUCUUCAUGUUAAAGAUCAGAUUUCAUUGCGUAUAGAUAAAUUUCAUGCAGUGACGGAGCCAGGAUUUUCAUUAAGGGGAGUCAAAAUAUAAAGAAACAAACUCACCAAGAAGUCAAGGGGUGUCAUUAUAUAGUAUAUAUACAUAUUUUUAAAAAUAUUACCGAGCUAAACAAUAUAAUUUUCCGACGAAGGGGUAUCGGUUGACAUCCCUUGGGUGCAAGUGGCUCCGCCACUGAUUUCAUGAUACUAUAAUUAACGUAAAAGAAUUAAAGUAAACUCUUUUAUAAGUAUUCUCACAUUUUCUAAUUAUUAUAUUAUCCCUCAAAUAUUUUCUUUUAUUCUAUUUAGAUUACUACAACUGAGCAAUAGUAAUGUGAUUAUAUGAAGUUGUCAUGAUUUACUAUUUACAUGGUAACAUCAUAAGUUUGAACUGUUUUGUUACAUAUUUUUUAAAGUCUGUAUUAAUUAUGUGAAAGGAUAAAUAAUUUUGAAGUGUUAGUGGAACAGAAAGAAACAAGAACUCUAAAAGAAUUCGAAUAGACACUUUUUCCUCCAUGCUUAUAUGUGAAACAAAAAAAUUUAUCUUGAAACAAAAGAAGCAAUUUUGAAUGUUUUCUCGGAGAAAUAGGAGAAAAUAAAACUUUCAUAGACAUGAAGAGGGUGAAGGGAUGGGCCAAAGCUUCUAUCUUUUUCAGUAACGUAGAAAAGAGGAAAGAAAAAGGAAGUAGCUAUAGGAAAAGAAAGAAAAAGAAUAAAAAAUGAUAGACGAUACAAGAGAUAGUAUCAUUUUUGCUCGGAUGAGUACCUUAUUAAUUUAGGGGAUGAAUAAUAUCAUUAUUCAAUUGGUAAUAUCAUUAUUUCUUUGUACUUUUUUUACUAAUAAUUCCUUUUUUUAUUAUUUUCUUUGUAAUAUUUUCCUUGUACAUUUUAAUUUUUCUUCAUAUACUUUUGCAUAUUGUAUUUUGUGUGUUUCGAAAAGGUUUUAGAUCAAUAAGCAAUUUCAUAAAAGAAAUGCUUGAAGUAAUCCUACAUUUAUUUUGGUACGAGCUGAGAACACAUAUUAUCUUAUAAUAGAUUGACUUUAUACAUUUCCUUUGUCCCUUCAUAUUUUUUCCAUCGUUUUAUCAUAUAUAAUUAUUAUUUUUUUGGAUUAUUUUAGAAUUUUUUUCACCCAAUCUAUUAUUAUCAUGUAAACUACUACACCAUUUUCAUGAUAGACAGACAUAACACCAAUUUUUCUUUCUCUAUGAUUUUCUACGGGUUUCUUUGAUUUUUCACCGUCAAAAACCAAAAUUCACCGUACAAGAAAAACACACAACGCUUCAAAAACAAUCGUUUUUUUUAUAACAGAUUCUUUACUCUCUCUGUUUCUCUUCUUCCCUCUAUCUAUGUAUUCAUCGUCCUUUGUCUUUCUAUUUUCCUAUUGUCCUUUUUGUUUGCCUUUGCUGAAAUUCCCUAUACUCCUCCCUCUUUUCUCUUCUACACUGCUUUUGCUACACCUUUGUUGAUUUACUUUAAUUCCUUAGCUAAUUUCUAAAUUAUUUCCUCACCGCCGUUUCCAUUUGUGUUUUUCACUUACUUGCACUUUGAUUUUUGAUUAUGCUCUGUCUUUGACUUACUCCUUCGCCAGCGCAGAAGAAUUGGAUAACGACUGCUUAUUUUGACGCCCAUGAAGCGUUCGUAAAUAUGCCCCAUACUUGAUCUUACCCACAGAUUCAGAAAAUGCUGCAAAUUUAAUCAACACUUGCCGGUCUGUAAUCCUUUCAAAGUUAACCUUUACCAACUGCGCCUUCUUUGCAUAUCUUUUCAGCAUUUUAAAUGUUAGACCCUUGAAGUUUAACAAUUCAGUUGAGCACAUGAUUUAUUUUUCUUUUUACGUUGAUAGAUGGUAGUGCAAACGAACAAAAGGCCGUGAAAAGAUUCAGUUUGGCCUUCUCCAUUCGUAUUUGAGGUACGUUCCGAAGAUUCUUAACUAUUAUUAUGCUUUUUGCACAAUUGAUAACCAAAAGUAUGAAGAUUCUAAUAUACAUUACUUUUUCAAAAUUGAUAACUAACGGUGUGCCUGAUAUGGAGUACCCGAAUUUUACUUUACUGAUACUUUAAUGGUUAAAGAGUUCGUCAACGAUGUUGAUUAUAGUCUACUGAUAUGGAGUUUAGACUAUAUUAAAUUUUCAUUGUAGCCUCAUAUAUUGGUAUUCAAACUCAAAGCAUUGCGAAUUAAUUUUUAAAAUAAGAUCUUCUUGAUGUAGACACUGAGACACGUAACUUAAAAGGUUAAAGGAAAAAAAAUUCAAAGUCAGAGAGCAUUGGUGGAGGUUAUAAAAUCAAUAAUACUCCAAAAUAAUCAAGAACCAAACAAAAUCAACAUUUUUCCUAUAAAAUCUACUCUGCUCUACCAAGGUUCUUUCCUUAUUUUGAUUACAACAAUUUAUUUUCCUGUCAAGAACACGCAUUUGAACUAACUUGAAAUCUGUAAGAAAAAAUGCAAUAAAAAACUUCUAAAACUUUUAUAAGAAAUUUAAACCUAAAUGCAUGGGAAAUAUUUUGUAUCUAAGAGAACCUUUUUACUUUGCAGAGAACCAAUAACAUUUCCAAAUGAGUAUUAAGGCUAGAAUAUCGGAUAUGAAGUAAUACAGAUAAUCAUGACAUAAUUUUAUGCGGCAUAAUUGAUUGCUUAAUUGGUCUACUGUAAAUUGAUUGUUAUUUAUCCCUAAUCAGUAGCAAUUUUUUUACCUUCUUAACUCAACUUGAUAAAGAUUUAUCAUAUAUGUGUAUAUAAUAUAUUUAUGGGUGAAGAAAAUUAAGGAGGAAGAAAACUAACUACCCUGCAAUGAAUAUCCAUAUAAAUAGCAAAUUGGAAAACAACUGAAGGAAAAACCAAUGAAGAUUAAGACUCACCAACGGUUGUAGCAGCGAUGAAGGGAUGAGCGAAGGUAGUUAAAAUACUAAAUCGACAUCAAAGAAAUAGUGCUAGAAAUAAGAGAGGAAAAAAAAAGCACAAAAGCCAGAGAAGAAGAUGCUCACAAAAAUGCACAUAUGAGGCGAUAGGGAGAGUUAAGUGCAAUCACUCAUUAUUAACGGUUAGGGAAUAUUUUUUUAUUUUAUUUAAUAGUGAUGACUGAUGACCAUUGAACUUAUUUUUAUGUCUAUAAAUGUUGAUUAUAGUUUACUGAUAUGGAGUUUAAACUAUAUUAGAUUUUCAUUGUAACCUCAGAUAUUAGUACCGGAUAGAUCCUGGUACGUAUUAUUUUCGUUUUAUUAUAUAGAAUUCUUGCUAUAGUAGUAUUAUUAUACCGUUAUCCUCUGUUGUAAAACCCAAAAGCCUCAUUAACUCUGACUGUUUCUUGGUGAUGUUUAAAUGGAUCUUCCGCUCAUCCAUUCUUCUUCUUAAAGUCUGAAUGUGUUUUGUUCAAUCUGUCAUUUUGUUGACAGGUUAGAUUAUCCUCUCGCCCGACUAGGUAUCUGGGACGUGACGUUGCAGCUCUUUAAGAUGUUGCCAUUCAGGUAGUCAUUUCUUUGGCUUAAAAUUUUAUUUUCAGUCACAAAUGUGUUUAAUAUUUUGUUAGGUGAUUUAGCAAAUAUUAGUUCUUCCUUUUCCCUUGUUGAGUUUCCUUUCACUCUAUUUUUGACAUGUAGGAAGCUUAUUUAGGUAACCUUCAAUUUCCAGAUUGUGUCCAUUAUUUCAAAGAAAACUUGCAAAGGUUGUCUGGCAUAAAUUACGCCCCGAUAAAGAUACGAAAAAGACGUUGAAUCGUGUAUUUUUUCUUGGGUCUUAUAUAGCGGUUCUAUAUUAAAAUUUACUACACUCUUUCUAAUUGAAAAAUGAAACUCUACUUGCGUUGUGUAUUGUGUAUAAUUUUAAACCAUAAAGACACUGGACAUUUACAUCAUUCUAUUGGAGAAUGAGGCCGGUAAUGUGCUUAGUUGUAUGGUUCUCCCUUAUAAUUGAGUACCUCCGAUUUAACACGAAACAGAUUGUUUAAUUGCCAAGAGGUUAGUGUAUUCAUCUUCUCGAGUUAUCCUUCAGUUCUAGCAUUUUACUCCCUAAAGACGAUUGCGCUCAUUUGAGACGACACAAGUAGAGCUAUCACAAAAUUAUCAUGGAUGCUUACGGGAAAUGUAGGAUCUUCCUCCCUUAAGUUUUAGUUGUUGACUAUGAAAUUUUUGUACAUAAAGGAAGUCAGUAAUGUUUACAUUAUCUUUGCAUGUUGAAUUUGAUUAAAAUUUGUCAAUAAUUUAUAUACAAAUAUAAAGCUAAAAAAAUAAAAUCUGAUGUGGAACCUCCCAUGCUCAGGGAUGUACGAUUUAUCUCUUUUCUUCUUUUUUUGGAAAUUUUCCUGUCUACAUGAUUGUUAAAUAAAUCCACAAGAAUAAACACAUCACUUUUGAAUUACUGUAUAAUUUUUUUUUCUUUUUUAUGUUUAUUCGAUCUGGUGAUUUAUACACAGUUUACUUGCCUUGCAGUUUAUGCAGUAGCGCAGAGAUGUCAUGACCCGAAAUUUUCCACCGACGGGACCGUGAUGGCGCCUAAUAUUUCACUUGCUAGGCAAUCCAACAUUAGAGAAUCAUUAAACCAAUUCCUUAUUCACAUUCAGUAAUUAACAAUAAUUAACUAAGAUGAAAUAUAAUAAGUGUGGAAUAUUAUAAAAC